RNAcentral lists this ribosomal RNA (253 nucleotides) under uncultured bacterium. RNAcentral's name for it is "partial 16S ribosomal RNA". It matches the Rfam family "Bacterial small subunit ribosomal RNA", at positions 524 to 777 of the family's 1533-position model. The record is from RNAcentral.
UACAGAGGUCUCAAGCGUUUGUUCGGAUUCAUUGGGCGUAAAGGGUGCGUAGGUGGCGCCGUAAGUCAGGUGUGAAAUUUCGGAGCUUAACUCCGAAACUGCAUUUGAUACUGCGGUGCUUGAGGACUGGAGAGGAGACUGGAAUUCAUGGUGUAGCAGUGAAAUGCGUAGAGAUCAUGAGGAAGACCAGUGGCGAAGGCGGGUCUCUGGACAGUUCCUGACGUGAGCACGAAGGCCAGGGGAGCAAAACGGG